Molecule: long non-coding RNA, 354 nt
Organism: Peromyscus maniculatus bairdii (prairie deer mouse)
Lineage: Eukaryota; Metazoa; Chordata; Mammalia; Rodentia; Cricetidae
Source: RefSeq, a predicted model, not a curated record
AUCAUGCUAUGUGCAGGCUGGCAGUAAUAUUUUGAAAGCUAUGGGACCUUCAAAAAUCGGGGCCCGGCUGGUGCAAGAAAGGCACCAGGCCUUUGAAGGUUCUAUCUGCCAUUGGUUCUGACUGUUCUCUACUUCCAUCUGUCACAUGCAAACAAGCCACCAUUAGAGGCCAUGGAUGCAGCCAAGCUACCAUGCCUUUCCCCUUAAAAUGGGUUGAAAUCCCUUGGAAACGAUUACUUCAUCUCUCAACCCUCAUCAGAGAAGCUUCUUUUUGCAGCAGAUGCUGAUUAAUGCAGAGACUCACAUCCAGUUAACAUGCAAAUAAUAAAAGACUGUGGAAUGCUCAGCUUUAAA